GUAGCUCAAUUGGUAGAGUGCUUGCCUAGUAUGCACCAAGCCCUAGGUUCAAUCCCUAGC
Molecule: transfer RNA, 60 nt
Filed under: Cricetulus griseus (Chinese hamster)
Lineage: Eukaryota; Metazoa; Chordata; Mammalia; Rodentia; Cricetidae
Rfam family: tRNA
About the family: Transfer RNA (tRNA) molecules are approximately 80 nucleotides in length. Their secondary structure includes four short double-helical elements and three loops (D, anti-codon, and T loops).
Source: Rfam by way of RNAcentral